AUUGAACGCUGGCGGCAUGCUUUACACAUGCAAGUCGAACGGUAACAGGCCGCAAGGUGCUGACGAGUGGCGAACGGGUGAGUAAUGCAUCGGAACGUGCCCAGUCGUGGGGGAUAACGCAGCGAAAGCUGUGCUAAUACCGCAUACGAUCUAUGGAUGAAAGCGGGGGACCGUAAGGCCUCGCGCAAUUGGAGCGGCCGAUGUCAGAUUAGGUAGUUGGUGGGGUAAAGGCCUACCAAGCCGACGAUCUGUAGCUGGUCUGAGAGGACGACCAGCCACACUGGGGCUGAGACACGGCCCAGACUCCUACGGGAGGCAGCAGUGGGGAAUUUUGGACAAUGGCGCAAGCCUGAUCCAGCAAUGCCGCGUGCAGGAAGAAGGCCUUCGGGUUGUAUACUGCUUUUGUACGGAACGAAACGGUCUGGGUUAAUACCCUGGGCUAAUGACGGUACCGUAAGAAUAAGCACCGGCUAACUACGUGCCAGCCGCCGCCGUAA
RNAcentral lists this ribosomal RNA (497 nucleotides) under uncultured bacterium. RNAcentral describes it as "partial 16S ribosomal RNA". It matches the Rfam family "Bacterial small subunit ribosomal RNA", at positions 30 to 523 of the family's 1533-position model. The record is from RNAcentral.